CGUGCACUGGUGGGGUCCCUUGGCCUGGCCUGUGCCCUCUCACAACCUGGGACCUCUCAGAGAGCCAGUUUUGGCCCAAUCCCUGUAGGCCAGGCCGAGGGACCCCACCGGUGCACA
This 117-nucleotide microRNA precursor is filed under the name Myotis davidii. RNAcentral describes it as "mir-9193 microRNA precursor family". It matches the Rfam family "mir-9193 microRNA precursor family". Lineage: Eukaryota; Metazoa; Chordata; Mammalia; Chiroptera; Vespertilionidae. The record is from Rfam by way of RNAcentral.